UACGGAGGGUGCAAACGUUGCUCGGAAUCAUUGGGCGUAAAGCGUGUGUAGGCGGUUUGUUAGGUCGGGUGUGAAAGCCCUGGGCUCAACCCAGGAAGUGCAUUCGAAACUGGCAAACUUGAGUACGGGAGAGGGUCGCGGAAUUCCCGGUGUAGAGGUGAAAUUCGUAGAUAUCGGGAGGAACACCAGUGGCGAAGGCGGCGACCUGGACCGAUACUGACGCUGAGACACGAAAGCGUGGGGAGCAAACAGG
This 253-nucleotide ribosomal RNA is filed under the name uncultured bacterium. RNAcentral describes it as "partial 16S ribosomal RNA". It matches the Rfam family "Bacterial small subunit ribosomal RNA", at positions 524 to 776 of the family's 1533-position model. The record is from RNAcentral.